Diachasmimorpha longicaudata is the source of this 4438-nucleotide long non-coding RNA. RefSeq lists it as uncharacterized. The record is from RefSeq and is a predicted model, not a curated record. Lineage: Eukaryota; Metazoa; Arthropoda; Insecta; Hymenoptera; Braconidae. The transcript has 3 exons.
UUGUUUUCAUCGGUUUUUUCCUUCAUUUUUAUCUGACACGGUGCAGUUGACACUUAUCGGUUGGUGGCCUUGCUCGAUCCCGAUGUGGGGAAUUUUUUGGCGGUUUUUCGUGUGACGCACCUGUCUUUUUUAUUUUGCCAUUCCGUCAAUUCAUCGAGUAUUGAGAGCACUUGGUGUGAUCAUCUUGUCUUUCGAAGACAUUUUAGUCACGGGUGUAUCUUUCUACGUCUGUCUUAUGAGAAGUUUCACGCUGAGUUUUUGACAAUCUCUCCAGAAUUUUUGACGUAGGAUGAGGCACCUGCGUUGUCAUUCUAACCAGCCAAACCUCUAAACCAACAUCAAACGUCCACAUGCCUUGUGUGUUGACAGGUAGGCAUAUUGGCAGACGAACGAGACGAAAACCCGUCGCGAUACACAUCCUCUGCGCCAUCAGUCUGGGACUGAGUCCGCCGGCGGCGGGAUGGGACUUGUGUGUGUCAGAUCAGGCGAUAUCGCGCAGCCAAAACCGAGGGCCUUCGAGAAGACCAUGUACCUGUCAUUUCUACGUGACCGUGUCAUUCUCCUCUCGUCCUUGUCUCACGGCCUACCCACGACAUUUAUAUAUUAUAUUAUCUAUUCUCAGGUCUCAUUUUUUUUCAUAUGAAUGAAUUAUUUCAUUAUUUUUUGUUAUUCGAUCUAAGAUUUUGCUCUGUCAUUUUAUUCUCGUUAUCUUGGGCCUGAAAAAAAUGCCGAGACACUGGGCACCAGCAGAUGGCACCUGACAACUUUAUUUCACGUUUUUUUUCCUGGUGCACAUAACAUUUAGUGUGAAAAAAAUUUUUGGUUAUGAACGGAAGUUGUAUAGUCGUCUGGAUUUUGGAUUUUCUAAUUUUGCUUAGAAAUAUUGUAAAAUGGUGUGAAACGUAAAAAGACAAAAUUUGAUGAUCUGAUGUGUAUGUGGUCGAUAAACUUUGUUGAGAGUGCUUUAUAUGUGUGGACAAAAAUUAAUCGUCUGUCUAUAGCUGUUUUCAGUCCAUCUCAAUAUGUUAUAAUUUUUAUACUUUUUCUCCGAACAGCACCGAAAUGUUUAGAAUGGUUUUAAUAAAUAGAAACAGAAAGGAAUUAAUGAACAAAGGCCUUUUGUCGAAUGGGUCUAGAGCAGUGUCUCGCAAACUGUGUGCCGCGGGAGAAUGGUAAGUGUGCCGCAAAACAUUUUCCAAGUUGCACUAGAUAUUCUGAGAUUAAUCUAAAAACCAAUUUCUGAUAACUAUAAAAUUACCCAAAAAAUAGUCAUUUAACUUUAACUAAAUUAGCCAGAACGCAGGUACUCGUAUUUGCCCUCCCAAACUUUGUCGUAACAACAAGAUGCACAAGCGAGGGGGUACGAAUAAUGCAAAUUUGUUCCCAGAAACAAGCCCAUCCAUCACAUUAAGCUUAAAAUAAGAAUAUGUUCCUUUCUAUUGUACCAAAUAUUAAUUAAUGUAGCGAUUUGAAAAAACCAAUUUUUUAAAUUAUUUUAAAUAUACAUUUUCUUCCGAAAAUUUAUUUAGCUUAGUGUGCCGCGGAAAAAAAAUUCCUCAGUUAGCGUGCCGCAGACUAAAAAAGUUUGCGAGACACUGGUCUAGAGUGUGAAAUGUUUGGUCACUAAGAGUCAGUUGAUCUGUCUGGAGACAUCAUACCAGAAAGAUAUACCUUCUGCGUGCGAUCAUAAAUAAUUAAAGUUGAUAGUUAAAUCGUUUUAUAUUGUUAAGACAAUCCCUAUUCCAUAAUCCAACACCAUCAAUAACGUGAAAUUAAGAUGAUGGGGAAUAAAAAAAUCACAGUCAAAUUGUCUCCAAACAGACUAUCGUUUUUAUGUUAAUACUCUUUCGCAACAUAAUUUCGUAGCAGACUUUUAAAAUAUUUACCGAGCACUUUUUAUCCUUUUUCAUUGUGCCAUAAGCACAACUUGCUACAUCAAAUGUAGAAAAUAAGAAAAAUUUUAUUUCACUUUGAAACUGAUGUGAAUCAGGGUUCCGCCUGUAUGUCACACUCAAAAAUAUCUUGAAAAAACAGUUUUGAAUUUUUUCAGCGGAAGAAUAACCUUUUUUCAUGCGGACAGAAAAAAAAUUUUUAACGCGGAUGUCAUGCGAGCGAAGGUAAAAUAUCUGAGGGGUCCAGGUACAUGGAACCACCGAGGAUGUCCCUUGGGGAAUACGGAAAUGCUCUUGGGAUACGUCAAGACGUUACAGAACUAUGUCUACAUGGACCCACACUUUGUGUACUCUGAACUUCCCAAAAUAUCUCGUAGUAUCCCCGAGGAUUCGUAUUCGCAGUCACGGAUUUCAAAAUAUUGUAUUUUUUCCAGGAUAUUAGUUCAACUUUUUAUCGUUCGAGGUGGUCCUAGAACGAUGAAACAUCAGUCGAAAUACUUCUUUUAUUGGAUAAAAUUGCCUUCUGCAAGUUAUCAUUGUCUAAUUUCUCAUGCGAUUUUUACACGUUUUAUUAAAAAACUUGAGUAAUGACAUUGGAAAAAUUAAUGAAUAACAGUAUUUUCGCAGGAGUCGUCUCUGCUUUUCUCCUUUAGUUGUCACUCGGUUUUAUGCGGAGAUCCUCGGGGACAGAUACAUCAAUGUGAGAAGAAAAAACAUAAAGACCCGUCGCGCCUGUGCCCCUUUGAACAAGUUGAAUCAGUUAUUUCGUCUCGCAUACGCCCCAUAAAGAAGCCUAAUAGUAACCCCAUUUUAAACAAUAGAUGAACAUUGUGUUUGAAAUAAACGAUAAUAUGCUGAAAAAGGUAGAAAUCAGUUUUUGUAAAAAAUAGUUCAAUACUAAGAUAAAAAUAUAAUUUUGCCAAUUAAAUAUUCCUCGGAUAAGAAUCUAAAGGGGAUUUCCCAACGGAAACUUAGGGCAUUUGAUUGCAUUAGAUUAUGGAUAGGGAUUAUCCCAAUAAUAUAAAAAGGAUUUAACCAUUAACUUUAAUUAUUUAUUAUCGCACGCAGAAGGUAUAUCGUUCUGGUAUGAUGUCUCCAGACAGAUCAACUGACUCUUAGUGACCAAAGAUUUCACACUCUAGGCCCAUUUGACAAAAGGCCCUUGUUCAUUAAUUCCUUUCUGUUUCUUCUCUGAUUUUAUUUAUUAAAACCAUCCUAAACAUUUCGGUACUGUUUGACGAAAAAUUAUAAAAACUAUAACAUACUGAGAUGGAGUGAAAACAGUUAUAGACAGAUGAUUCAUUUUUAUCCACACAUAUCAAGCACUCUCACUGGAUUGUUUAAAACAAAUAUCAUUGGUAUUAGGUGUGUGAAUAAGUCUUUCCCGUUUUUUGUAAGAGAUGCCGCCACCAAUACUGUGCGAGUAUUCAAUGGUUACAUAUGUCAUAAUCAAAGCUUAUUCGUCUGUCAACGAUUCCACACUAACACAUUAGUUGAAAUUUUUUCGCAUCAUAAAUUUUUGAUAUCGUGAAAAUGUCGAAUUUUGAGCCGAGUCGACGUCAUUUGCGGGAAGUUUCACUUUAUUGGUUCAAUUUGAAGAAAUCUGCUGCCGAGGCGCAUCGAUUGCUUCAGGAAGCUUAUGGAGAAGGUUGUGUCGAUGAUUCAAGUGUUCGCGGAUGGUUUCGAAACUUCAAAAGUGGUGAUUUCGACGUGGAAGACAAGGAGCGUUCCGGGCGGCCGCAAAUCUUUGAAGAUCAAGAAUUGGCGACUUUGCUUGAUGAAGAUUCGUGUCAAACGCAAGAAGACGAUGGCCAAUACUUUCAAUAAUUCAUUUGUAACCAUUUUUUCACAAUAAAGGCUCAAAAUUUGAAAAAAACGGGAAAGACUUAUUCACACUCCUAAUACAAUUAUAUUUUUUUCUCAGUGAAGAACCUUGGUUUUCCGUCAUUUUUUUUUCAUCAUGCAAAAUCAUUGUUUUUUUAUUUAUUUAAGCUUGCUGAAACCUAUAGGUUUAGAAAGGUACAAAUAUAUAUUUACAGGAAUAAUUUGGAAUUUGCGAAUUUAGUUUUUCGUUAUGAUAUGUGUUGGAAUAUUUGAGUACAGUUCUUUCAUUGUCCUACAAAAAUCACUCGACACCUCUUUUACUUUCUGGGAAACAGCUCUACUAAGGGACUAAUUUACGAUCGGUUGUACUCCGCUUUCGAGACGGUUUAAUCCUAAACAUAUGCUGAAAUUUCAACAUAGGACUGUGUUCCUUUGAGUCAUAAAACUGUUUUUCUUUUCUCUGAGAGAGUUUUCCCUUUGAUAUAGUUUUUAGUCUCUGCACAACGGUCCUCUAAUUAAGACGUGCCUUCCUCGUGCUAAUAAAGAAUAUUCUAUAAAGUAUUUUCAAUAUGAUUAUAUUAGAGGCAUAUAUAAGUUUACACCAGUACUGUGAGGUCAUUGUUUCCUGGAGAGACCGUCUGCAUGGUCUUGCGCCGAAACCUCCAGUUUAUGUUUAUAGAAUGAAAAAAAGAAAUCAUUGUUCAUUGGAAGAAAGAAACCAU